UGAAGACAGACUACCACAUGUGACUGGUGAAUGUGAAAGUUAGGUGGCAAGAGUCAACAUGGAGUUUGGACUUCUACAACAAGUCUUGGUAGGAAGGGGGCAGAAAAUAAGUUUUAUAUAGUGCCUAAUAUGUCAUGGGGCAAAGUAUUUUUUUUGAACAGAUGUUCUCAUUUGGUACUCACAAUAACUCUGCAAAGGUUCUGCUAUUUGCCAGUUGGAGACUGACUGAAAUGCCACUUCCUUUGAGAAAGUCUUAACUCAUGUAUGGGAAACUGCCUGAAAUGAGAUCACUAA
This is a long non-coding RNA of Phascolarctos cinereus (koala), 294 nucleotides long. RefSeq lists it as uncharacterized. The record is from RefSeq and is a predicted model, not a curated record. NCBI's taxonomy places the organism in Eukaryota, Metazoa, Chordata, Mammalia, Diprotodontia, Phascolarctidae.